CAGCUCCUUCCUCACUGUGGGGGGCAGUGGGGGGCACACUGCUCCUUGCCGACCCCCAUUUUCCUACCACGGAGCCCCAGUUGUGUUCAGAUGUCAGGCACAGAUCUUUGAGCAAAUCGACUUGUUACUUAUGCCCCUCUUUCUCCAGUGAGGAGCAAACCACAUGAGGAGGUGGGCUUCGUCCCCCAGCCCCACGGAGUGGAUCACAGUCAGUCCAGAUCCACCUGUGAUUGGCCCGGGAGCAGGUGCAUGCGCCAGUGUGGACCAAAGGGCUUCUGUGAGGGGACGUCUCCCAGAGAUUCUUUUAUCUGGCACAAUGAGGGGGUCUCUGAAAAAAAUGCUGUCCUGUCUUCCUGUGAGGGUGUGAUGGCUGGAGCCACAGCAACCACUGUGAGGUCCUGGGAUGACAAUCAGAGGACACAGGCAGGGAACGUGGUGCAGACAUGGAAGAGACGGCGUCACUGAGCCGCGGCGUUCAUCCCGCACCUGCCAGCGCGGUGGCGUGUUAUCCGGAAUGAAUGUGCUCCCGGAGGGCCAGGCGUGAAGGGCAGGGUCCUUCGAGGUCCCCACACAGCCGGCCCAGCUGAGUCUCAGGGGUCCCCUCAGGCUCGUCCACGCGCGUGUGACCUCCGUGCCGCCAGACUGCUACCCGUCCCCGCGGGGACCGCAGGUGGGGGUCACGGUGCCCCGACCCAGCCGGGACCGGCACGUUUCUGUCAUCUGUGGAGACGCUGUGCCCACUCUCAGGGUGGGGCUGCACCUUCCAGCGACGGCACCUGAGCCCAGAAACGUGACAGCAUCCUGCCUGUAAAUGCUCUUUUUUUUUCCCAAAUA
This is a long non-coding RNA of Suricata suricatta (meerkat), 834 nucleotides long. RefSeq lists it as uncharacterized. NCBI's taxonomy places the organism in Eukaryota, Metazoa, Chordata, Mammalia, Carnivora, Herpestidae. The transcript has 2 exons. The record is from RefSeq and is a predicted model, not a curated record.